GUGGGCCGGGUUUGGACCGGUGGGUCUGCGGUCCACGUCGACCAUUUUAUUCGUGAAAAUCAAAGACAGUACCGAAAAUUUACAAAAACUCUCACACACCUGAAGUAAACCGCUUGACUUUGUGUUUUGUGUUUGGUUUCGUUUGGGAGGAUUUUAUAGAUACAAUACAAGAAGAUGGAGUAUGAGAAGGAGGUUGGAGACGGUGAGAGUGGUGAGUGUGUGUGCUUUUCG
Molecule: long non-coding RNA, 231 nt
Filed under: Glycine max (soybean)
Lineage: Eukaryota; Viridiplantae; Streptophyta; Magnoliopsida; Fabales; Fabaceae
Description: long non-coding RNA (GMAX_LNC001041)
Source: RNAcentral